GGCAAGAUGGCCGAGCGGUCUAAGGCGCUAGGGUCAGGUGUAUCUGAUCAGACAUGUUUCUUCGGAGCAUUCCUAGUCUCGAAAGGGGCGUGGGUUCGAAUCCCACUCUUGUCA
Aspergillus tubingensis CBS 134.48 is the source of this 114-nucleotide transfer RNA. It matches the Rfam family "tRNA". From Rfam's summary of the family: Transfer RNA (tRNA) molecules are approximately 80 nucleotides in length. NCBI's taxonomy places the organism in Eukaryota, Fungi, Ascomycota, Eurotiomycetes, Eurotiales, Aspergillaceae. The record is from Rfam.